RNAcentral lists this ribosomal RNA (865 nucleotides) under uncultured bacterium. RNAcentral describes it as "bacterial SSU rRNA". It matches the Rfam family "Bacterial small subunit ribosomal RNA", at positions 59 to 900 of the family's 1533-position model. The record is from RNAcentral.
CAGUCGAACGCGAAAGUCCCCUUCGGGGGAUAAGUAGAGUGGCGCACGGGUGAGUAACACGUAGGUAAUCUACCUUCGGGUGGGGAAUAACCCAGGGAAACUUGGGCUAACACCGCAUAAUGCAGCGGCACCACAUGGUGACUGUUGUUAAAGCGGGGGAUUUUAGGACCUCGCGCCUGAAGAGGAGCCUGCGGCAGAUUAGCUAGUUGGUAAGGUAACGGCUUACCAAGGCAACGAUCUGUAACCGGCCUGAGAGGGCGGUCGGUCACACUGACACUGACAUACGGGUCAGACUCCUACGGGAGGCAGCAGUCGGGAAUUUUGGGCAAUGGGCGAAAGCCUGACCCAGCAACGCCGCGUGAAGGAUGAAAUCCCUCGGGAUGUAAACUUCGCAAGAAUGGGAAGAAUUAGUAGGGGUUAAUACCCCCUAUGAUGACGGUACCAUUUGUAAGCUCCGGCUAACUCCGUGCCAGCAGCCGCGGUAAUACGGGGGGAGCAAGCGUUGUUCGGAUUUACUGGGCGUAAAGGGCGCGUAGGCGGUCAGCACAAGUCAGUUGUGAAAUCUCCGGGCUUAACUCGGAACGGUCAACUGAUACUGUGCGACUAGAGUGCAGAAGGGGCAACUGGAAUUCUCGGUGUAGCGGUGAAAUGCGUAGAUAUCGAGAGGAACACCUGCGGCGAAGGCGGGUUGCUGGGCUGACACUGACGCUGAGGCGCGAAAGCCAGGGGAGCGAACGGGAUUAGAUACCCCGGUAGUCCUGGCCUUAAACGAUGGAUGCUUGGUGUCUGGAGUUAUAUAGUCUCCGGGUGCCGCAGCUAACGCGUUAAGCAUCCCGCCUGGGGAGUACGGUCGCAAGACUGAAAC